Molecule: long non-coding RNA, 359 nt
Organism: Rosa chinensis
Lineage: Eukaryota; Viridiplantae; Streptophyta; Magnoliopsida; Rosales; Rosaceae
Exons: 3
Source: RefSeq, a predicted model, not a curated record
CGCCGAUCAAGUCUUCCACAAGCGGAAGGAGUUUCUAGGUCUUUUACUUUUCCACUUCUACCAUAAGCCUGUACGAUUAUUUCUGUCUUCUGCGAUGAUGAUUGUUUUAAAUUCUCGGCGUGACAUCAUUGAGGUGACGCUAACUUUAUGUUCUUUGGGGACCUUGAAGAGAAUAUUAUUUUAGCAGGGUAAAGGGAACCCAAUCAUAGCAAGUGUUUAUUUCUUCGUUAGCUACCUUUUGAUUGGAUCCAGUGGAUUACUAUUUGAUAGAAAGCGCAAGGAUUCCUCCGCUGGUAAAUUUUUGCCAUCAACAAUGUUUGAUUUUUCAGAGACCUAGCUUUUUAGGUUCGAUUAGGUAA